This 49-nucleotide microRNA precursor is filed under the name Nematostella vectensis (starlet sea anemone). RNAcentral describes it as "Nve-Mir-2028_pre stem-loop". Lineage: Eukaryota; Metazoa; Cnidaria; Anthozoa; Actiniaria; Edwardsiidae. The record is from RNAcentral.
UAAUGUUCCUGCUUGUUCCUAUAUAUUAGGAACUAGCAGGAGCAUUAAG